AAAAAUGGAAACAAAGAGAGACAAUUUAAGAACAUAGUCUUCCAUUCAUCCCUUCAUUUAUAUAUACAGACUACCAUAAAACCUAGAAGCUUCGACUAAACCAACAGAAAAACAUAAUUGAUUUCACCUAAUAUCUAUGGAAUCUAAGACCCAGAAACACCAAUUACUAAAAAACCAACUUUAACCCUCAACCCUAGAAACCUUCUCUUAUCCUUCCACCUAAUCUUCAUCUGCAGAGGGCUUUGAUGAGCCAGCUUUCUUAGGAAGCAAAAGGUUAUGGAUGUUGGGCAUAACACCACCAUUAGCAAUGGUCACAUCACCAAGCAGCUUGCUCAGCUCUUCAUCGUUCCUCACAGCCAACUGAAUAUGCCUUGGGACUAUCCUAGUCUUCUUGUUAUCCCUAGCUGCAUUUCCAGCUAAUUCAAGCACCUCAGCAGCAAGGUAUUCGAGAACAGCUGCAAGGUACACGGGAGCUCCAGCACCAACACGCUCGGCAUACUUGCCGGCUUUCAGAAAACGAGCAAUACGACCGACCGGAAAUUGAAGACCGGCUUUGCUACUCCGAGAUUGAGCCUUCUUUGCUGCACCGGAACCAAGAGUCUUGCCUCUUCCUGCCAUCGGAAUCUCUGUAUAACACACAAAAAAUAUGAAUAGGACUUAUGCUGUAUAGAGAGAAACGGUGGCAGGAAGAGGCAAGACUCUU
Molecule: unclassified non-coding RNA, 703 nt
Filed under: Hevea brasiliensis (rubber tree)
Lineage: Eukaryota; Viridiplantae; Streptophyta; Magnoliopsida; Malpighiales; Euphorbiaceae
Source: RNAcentral